This 581-nucleotide ribosomal RNA is filed under the name Aureobasidium pullulans. Its description in RNAcentral is "eukaryotic LSU rRNA". It matches the Rfam family "Eukaryotic large subunit ribosomal RNA", at positions 75 to 671 of the family's 3401-position model. Lineage: Eukaryota; Fungi; Ascomycota; Dothideomycetes; Dothideales; Saccotheciaceae. The record is from RNAcentral.
UUGCCCUAGUAACGGCGAGUGAAGCGGCAACAGCUCAAAUUUGAAAGCUAGCCUUCGGGUUCGCAUUGUAAUUUGUAGAGGAUGAUUUGGGGAAGCCGCCUGUCUAAGUUCCUUGGAACAGGACGUCAUAGAGGGUGAGAAUCCCGUAUGUGACAGGAAAUGGCACCCUAUGUAAAUCUCCUUCGACGAGUCGAGUUGUUUGGGAAUGCAGCUCUAAAUGGGAGGUAAAUUUCUUCUAAAGCUAAAUAUUGGCGAGAGACCGAUAGCGCACAAGUAGAGUGAUCGAAAGAUGAAAAGCACUUUGGAAAGAGAGUUAAAAAGCACGUGAAAUUGUUGAAAGGGAAGCGCUUGCAAUCAGACUUGUUUAAACUGUUCGGCCGGUCUUCUGACCGGUUUACUCAGUUUGGACAGGCCAGCAUCAGUUUCGGCGGCCGGAUAAAGGCUCUGGGAAUGUGGCCUCCACUUCGGUGGAGGUGUUAUAGCCCAGGGUGUAAUACGGCCAGCCGGGACUGAGGUCCGCGCUUCGGCUAGGAUGCUGGCGUAAUGGUUGUAAGCGACCCGUCUUGAAACACGGACCAAAA